AGUCAUAUGAUUGUAUCAAAGAUUAAGCCAUGCAUGUCUCAGUAUAAGCUUCUACACGGCGAAACUGCGAAUGGCGUAUUAAAACGGUUAUAGUUUAUUUGGUGGUCACUCAUUAUAUGGAUAACCAUGGUAAUUCUAGAGCUAAUACAUGCGCCCAGACCCAACUUUGCGGAAGGGUUGUGUUUAUUAGGUACAGAACCAACCCAGGCUCUGCCUGGUCUUUUGGUGAUUCAUGAUAACCGAACGAAUCGCAUGGCAUCAGCUGGCGAUGAACCAUUCAAGUUUCUGACCUAUCAGCUUCCGACGGUAGGGUAUUGGCCUACCGUGGCAAUGACGGGUA
This 340-nucleotide ribosomal RNA is filed under the name uncultured eukaryote. RNAcentral's name for it is "SSU rRNA". It matches the Rfam family "Eukaryotic small subunit ribosomal RNA", at positions 22 to 361 of the family's 1831-position model. The record is from RNAcentral.